UUCGCCCAUUAAAGCGGUACGCGAGCUGGGUUCAGAACGUCGUGAGACAGUUCGGUCCCUAUCCGUCGUGGGCGUAGGAAAUUUGAGAGGAGCUGUCCUUAGUACGAGAGGACCGGGAUGGACAUACCUCUGGUGUACCAGUUGUCGUGCCAACGGCAUAGCUGGGUAGCUAUGUGUGGACGGGAUAAGUGCUGAAAGCAUCUAAGCAUGAAGCCCCCCUCAAGAUGAGAUUUCCCAACUUCGGUUAUAAGAUCCCUCAAAGAUGAUGAGGUUAAUAGGUUCGAGGUGGAAGCAUGGUGACAUGUGGAGCUGACGAAUACUAAUCGAUCGAAGACUUAAUCAA
This 343-nucleotide ribosomal RNA is filed under the name Staphylococcus aureus. Its description in RNAcentral is "partial 23S ribosomal RNA". It matches the Rfam family "Bacterial large subunit ribosomal RNA", at positions 2580 to 2925 of the family's 2925-position model. The record is from RNAcentral. Lineage: Bacteria; Bacillati; Bacillota; Bacilli; Caryophanales; Staphylococcaceae.